CGGUUUUCUUUGAUCUCCGCCUCCUGUCUCUCCUCCACUCUGCUCUUUCCUCUUUUGGAUGUGAUGUAAUGCAAAAGUCGCUGGGAAAAAAGUGAUUUUGAAGAUGCCCGGGCCUACAGAACCAGGGGCCCCCCAAAAUUUCCACCCAGCCCCCCAAAAAUUUACUCCCUUGCAGCUCCCCUGAAGGCCACCGGAGCAUAGUUUGAAAACCCAAUAUAGAAACACUGAUUAUAUGUUAGAGAGGCUGCGAAAAUAUUGGAAGCAGUUAACCUCAUCUACCGUCAUCUUCUCCACCUGCUGCUAUGCUGCUCAUGUUCUCAUGCUGAGUACCAUGAGGCUUAUCAGACCCUGCACACUCCUGUGAUCAUGCAGAGUGGCUAUUUCUGUGUCAUCUGCAAAGCUGCAUGAGAAGAAAAUUAUACAUACAAGUACCAGACAAGCAGGAUUCUUGAAGUCCUGUCAGGGCAGGUUAUACCCUUCAGUUGUGGCAUGCAUUUCUCACUCAGGUGGUCUGUGAAGUGGAUUUCCUCAGAUGCAUACUCAUCCCAAUGCUCAUCAAGGUUUAGUGAAGGACUAAAGUGAAUCAGUACUGGAUAUGUUGUCGGCUAUUAAUAAAUGCACUAAGCUAAAAGUAGUACAGCAGCAAGUUAGUAUAAUUGUAAAAAUGUCCCCCUUCAGGUCAUGGUACACAUGUCUGUUUGUUGUAAAAUCUUUACAGAUUUGUAUAAAGUAAAUGUAAGAAUAUCUUUUAUAUUGUUAGUAAUAUUUCAAAAUGAACACUUGCUUGACAAAACGAACACUUAAUGUUUAUUUGUAUAUUUCUAAAUCACCAUUAUUGCAUUGAAUUAUAUGUUUUUCUCCACACCAUAAAAACUACACAUCUUUGAUAAUAAAAGUAAGCAUUUAAAUCAUCUUACUAAGCCAUUAUGGGAGAUAUAGAGUGACAGCUGAUAUUUAUAUGAAUUUGAUUUAAGUAGUCUACUGUGCACAUUGAUUUAAAUUAAUAUAUAUUCAAAUUUCAACUUACUUCUUGCCCAUAAAAAUAUCAGCAGCUGCAUCAAAUUUUGCAGUUUGAGCCUUGAAAUAAAACUGACUUUUUUAUUUAAGCCAUUAAAGUCUGAUGUGACACAAAAAAACCCCAAACUUACUUUGAAUAAAGGUUCA
Megalobrama amblycephala (Wuchang bream) is the source of this 1164-nucleotide long non-coding RNA. RefSeq lists it as uncharacterized. The record is from RefSeq and is a predicted model, not a curated record. Lineage: Eukaryota; Metazoa; Chordata; Actinopteri; Cypriniformes; Xenocyprididae. The transcript has 4 exons.